RNAcentral lists this ribosomal RNA (253 nucleotides) under uncultured Parabacteroides sp. Its description in RNAcentral is "partial 16S ribosomal RNA". It matches the Rfam family "Bacterial small subunit ribosomal RNA", at positions 524 to 776 of the family's 1533-position model. Lineage: Bacteria; Pseudomonadati; Bacteroidota; Bacteroidia; Bacteroidales; Tannerellaceae. The record is from RNAcentral.
UACGGAGGAUGCGAGCGUUAUCCGGAUUUAUUGGGUUUAAAGGGUGCGUAGGUUGUUUUUUAAGUCAGCGGUGAAAGUUUGUGGCUCAACCAUAAAAUUGCCGUUGAAACUGGAAGACUUGAGUGUGUUUGAGGUAGGCGGAAUAAGUUAAGUAGCGGUGAAAUGCUUAGAUAUAACUUAGAACUCCGAUAGCGAAGGCAGCUUACCAGACUGCGACUGACGCUGAAGCACGAGAGCGUGGGUAGCGAACAGG